UCUGCCGAUGAAGGGCUAAGCUAGUUUGACCACGGGUGGACCUGAGCCAAGUCCAGACCCUUGACAUACAGCCAGCCUCCUCUGAGUAUGUGGUUCAUGCACUGAACUCCAAAGCAGCAUAUGUCUGAGAAGAGUAAAAGGCGCACCUCUCCGUGGGUAGACAUGGAAGCCUCAUGCACAAGGUAGCUUUAUCAGCGGAUGUCCAAAAUUUGUACAGCCUGAUGAUGUCCCUGCUAAGGUGAAUGGGCAGAGAAACCGUGGUGUGUCCACGCAACAGGACACUGCAGGAAGCAGCCACAUGAAAGACGGAUCCCAGAACAUGUCAGAGAGUUGGCUGGCCAGAGGGUUCACGCCCAGCAACUGAGGCACAUAAUAUCCAGAGAUCACCAAGUUCUACUGCACAAGAGCAGAGGGGCAUUUAUUUACCUGAGGUGGGGCAGGAGGGUGAGAGGGUAGAGAGCGGGGAGAAAGGGGCAGGAAGAGACUUUUAAAAGGAAUAUUUCUGUUUGUUUUUAAAAUCUUGGCUUUUUUCUUAUUCAUGUGCCUGUAUAUGUCUGGGGGUAUUUGCACCGGUGCACACGUGUGUGGGUGU
Molecule: long non-coding RNA, 592 nt
Filed under: Mus musculus (house mouse)
Lineage: Eukaryota; Metazoa; Chordata; Mammalia; Rodentia; Muridae
Description: predicted gene 12120
Source: RNAcentral